Molecule: ribosomal RNA, 492 nt
Filed under: uncultured bacterium
Lineage: Bacteria
Description: partial 16S ribosomal RNA
Rfam family: Bacterial small subunit ribosomal RNA
Source: RNAcentral
AGUGAACGCUGGCGGUAGGCCUAACACAUGCAAGUCGAACGGCAGCACAGUAAGAGCUUGCUCUUACGGGUGGCGAGUGGCGGACGGGUGAGGAAUACAUCGGAAUCUACUUUUUCGUGGGGGAUAACGUAGGGAAACUUACGCUAAUACCGCAUACGACCUACGGGUGAAAGCAGGGGAUCUUCGGACCUUGCGCGAUUGAAUGAGCCGAUGUCGGAUUAGCUAGUUGGCGGGGUAAAGGCCCACCAAGGCGACGAUCCGUAGCUGGUCUGAGAGGAUGGUCAGCCACACUGGAAGUGAGACAGGGUCCAGACUCCUACGGGAGGCAGCAGUGGGGAAUAUUGGACAAUGGGGGCAAGCCUGAUCCAGCCAUACCGCGUGGGUGAAGAAGGCCUUCGGGUUGUAAAGCCCUUUUGUUGGGAGAGAAAAGCAGCAGGUUAAUACCCCGCUGUUCUGACGGUACCCAAAGAAUAAGCACCGGCUAACUUCGUG